RNAcentral lists this ribosomal RNA (252 nucleotides) under uncultured prokaryote. RNAcentral's name for it is "partial 16S ribosomal RNA". It matches the Rfam family "Bacterial small subunit ribosomal RNA", at positions 525 to 775 of the family's 1533-position model. The record is from RNAcentral.
ACAGAGGCGGCAAGCGUUGUUCGGAGUUACUGGGCGUAAAGGGCGUGCAGGCGGUUGGCUAAGUUCGUUGUGAAAGCGCCCAGGCUUAACCGGGUGAGGACAAUGAAGACUGGUCAGCUAGAGGACGGUAGAGGGGUGUGGAAUUCCGGGUGUAGUGGUGAAAUGCGUAGAGAUCCGGAGGAACACCAGUGGCGAAGGCGACACGCUGGGCCUGGCCUGACGCUCAGACGCGAAAGCAUGGGGAGCGAACGG